CCUACGGGAGGCAGCAGUGAGGAAUAUUGGUCAAUGGCCGGAAGGCUGAACCAGCCAUGCCGCGUGAAGGUCAGUGCCCUAUGGGCGUUAAACUUCUUUUGUGCGGGAGCAAUAAUGGUCACGUGUGGCCAGACGAGAGUACCGUACGAAUAAGCAUCGGCUAACUCCGUGCCAGCAGCCGCGGUAAUACGGGGGAGGCAAGCGUUAUCCGGAUUUAUUGGGUUUAAAGGGUGCGUAGGCUGUGAGGUAAGUCAGCGGUGAAAUGCCCCCGCUCAACGGGGUGAAGUGCCAUUGAUACUGCCUGGCUGGAAUGCGGAUGCCGUGGGAGGAAUGUGUGGUGUAGCGGUGAAAUGCAUAGAUAUCACACAGAACACCGAUUGCGAAGGCAUCUCACGAAUCCGCGAUUGACGCUGAUGCACGAAAGCGUGGGUAUCAAACAGGAUUAGAUACCCCAGUAGUC
Molecule: ribosomal RNA, 460 nt
Filed under: uncultured bacterium
Lineage: Bacteria
Description: partial 16S ribosomal RNA
Rfam family: Bacterial small subunit ribosomal RNA
Source: RNAcentral